Molecule: non-coding RNA, 25 nt
Filed under: Rattus norvegicus (Norway rat)
Lineage: Eukaryota; Metazoa; Chordata; Mammalia; Rodentia; Muridae
Source: RNAcentral
UGAAGGGAUGUCUGAUCCUUCCUAG